UUUUUUAGGAUGGAAAGCAGGUUGGAGGAAACCUGGUUCUUAAUUGGUUCUAUAUCAACUAAAGCAGAUGGACCACACUCUGGUCUGUUUCAGAGUCAUACAUCUCUUUAUGGGGCUUCUGCUGACAUUAAGAAUAAUGAAAUCCAAGUUUACAUUCCCCCGGACAACAAACUGAGAAUUCUUUUCUGGGGAAAUGAAUCUAAGAGCAAACAAAACAAGACAACUCUAUACUGAAUUUUGGGGACUCUCCAAUGAAAGAGCCAGUUUCCUGACCCAUCUGUCUGUACGGUAAGGAUC
This 297-nucleotide long non-coding RNA is filed under the name Mustela putorius furo (domestic ferret). RNAcentral describes it as "lncRNA (ENSMPUG00000026471.1)". Lineage: Eukaryota; Metazoa; Chordata; Mammalia; Carnivora; Mustelidae. The record is from RNAcentral.